Molecule: transfer RNA, 97 nt
Filed under: Synergistaceae bacterium
Lineage: Bacteria; Thermotogati; Synergistota; Synergistia; Synergistales; Synergistaceae
Description: tRNA-Sec
Rfam family: Selenocysteine transfer RNA
Source: RNAcentral
GGAGAUGAAUGUCGUCUGGUGGCGGCCCCGGACUUCAAAUCCGGUGAGGGUCAGUUAUGCUGGCCUUGGUGGGUUCGUUUCCCACGCAUCUCCGCCA